UUACGGCUAUAUCAGGUUGAAACACGGGUUCUCGUCUGAUCACCGAAGUUAAACAACGUCAAGCCUGGUCAGUAUCUAGAUAGGCGACCGCUUGAGAAUACCAGGGUUUG
Molecule: non-coding RNA, 110 nt
Organism: Acanthosepion pharaonis
Lineage: Eukaryota; Metazoa; Mollusca; Cephalopoda; Sepiida; Sepiidae
Source: the annotation of a GenBank genome assembly